ACGCGUGAGAAUCUGGCUUCAGGUCUGGGACAACCACUGGAAACGGUGGCUAAUACCGGAUGUGCCGAAAGGUGAAAGGUUAACUGCCUGAAGAUGAGCUCGCGUCUGAUUAGCUAGUUGGUAGGGUAAGAGCUUACCAAGGCGACGAUCAGUAGCUGGUCUGAGAGGACGAUCAGCCACACUGGGACUGAGACACGGCCCAGACUCCUACGGGAGGCAGCAGUGGGGAAUUUUCCGCAAUGGGCGAAAGCCUGACGGAGCAAUACCGCGUGAGGGAGGAAGGCUCUUGGGUUGUAAACCUCUUUUCUCAGGGAAGAUAAUGACGGUACUUGAGGAAUAAGCAUCGGCUAACUCCGUGCCAGCAGCCGCGGUAAUACGGAGGAUGCAAGCGUUAUCCGGAAUGAUUGGGCGUAAAGCGUUCGCAGGUGGCAUUGAAAGUCUGCUGUUAAAGAAUCUGGCUCAACCAGAUAGAGGCAGUGGAAACUACAAAGCUAGAGUGCGGUAGGGGCAGAGGGAAUUCCUGGUGUAGCGGUGAAAUGCGUAGAGUUCAGGAAGAACACCGGUGGCGAAAGCGCUCUGCUAGGCCGCAACUGACACUGAGGGACGAAAGCUAGGGGAGCGAAAGGGAUUAGAUACC
RNAcentral lists this ribosomal RNA (637 nucleotides) under Rhizonema sp. 'cyanobiont of Cyphellostereum sp.'. RNAcentral describes it as "bacterial SSU rRNA". It matches the Rfam family "Bacterial small subunit ribosomal RNA", at positions 113 to 786 of the family's 1533-position model. Lineage: Bacteria; Bacillati; Cyanobacteriota; Cyanophyceae; Nostocales; Rhizonemataceae. The record is from RNAcentral.